CUGGCGGCGUGCCUAAUACAUGCAAGUCGAACGGUCUUUCUAUGGAAGCUUGCUUCCACUGAGAAGAUAGUGGCGAACGGGUGAGUAACACGUGGGUAACCUGCCCAUAAGAGGGGGGAUAACAUCCGGAAACGGGUGCUAAUACCGCAUAGUUUUCUUGAUUGCAUGAUUGAGAAAGGAAAGACGGCCUUUGUGCUGUCGCUUAUGGAUGGACCCGCGGCGUAUUAGUUAGUUGGUGAGGUAACGGCUCACCAAGACGAUGAUACGUAGCCGACCUGAGAGGGUGAUCGGCCACAUUGGGACUGAGACACGGCCCAAACUCCUACGGGAGGCAGCAGUAGGGAAUCUUCCGCAAUGGACGAAAGUCUGACGGAGCAACGCCGCGUGAGUGAAGAAAAGGUUUUCGGAUCGUAAAACUCUGUUGUCAGAGAAGAACAAGUUGGAGAGUAACUGCUCCAGCCUUGACGGUAUCUGACCAGAAAGCCACGGCUAACUACGUGCCAGCCGCUGC
RNAcentral lists this ribosomal RNA (511 nucleotides) under uncultured bacterium. RNAcentral describes it as "bacterial SSU rRNA". It matches the Rfam family "Bacterial small subunit ribosomal RNA", at positions 36 to 518 of the family's 1533-position model. The record is from RNAcentral.